GAGCAUUUUUACAUCCUACCCAUGUCUUCAGUAAUUUCAAAGAAUUGUACGGAACUAACUAUGAGACCAAGGCUGCCUAUCCUUCAUUAGAAGAUUCAAGCAGGAUUGCACUGGGAAAUAUUUUGAAGUUCCGAAAGAAGAACUGGCAAUUUGAUUUCAUUGGUGGCAUUAUAUACUUUGUGUUGAGCUUUUCUACGUUCCCACAGUGUAAGCUCGACCACAUUUUGCAACAUGAUACAUUUUCUGGCCACUUGUGGAGUUUCUUUGGCACAGUGUGGAAUGCUUUUAUGUAUGUGUUGGAGCACUCUUAUGUAUCAUUGGCCGGUCUUGUGGUAUUGCUAAUUGUGGCAAUUGCAUUUGUCCCACCCAAAGUGUCUCGGAAGAAACAGGCAAUUAUUGGGAUUCUUCAUGUUUCUUCACACCUUGCAGCAGCUCUAAUUCUUAUGUUGCUUUUGGAACUGGGUGUUGAGACGUGUAUCAGACAUAACCUACUAGCAACUUCAGGUUAUCACACUUUAUAUCAGUGGUACCGAUCAGUGGAAAGUGAGCACUUUCCAGACCCUACAGGUCUUCGAUCUCGUAUAGAACAAUGGACAUUUGGCCUUUAUCCAGCUUGCAUCAAAUAUCUCAUGUCUGCAUUUGAUGUUCCUGAGGUCAUGGCUGUCACAAGGAGUAAUAUUUGCAAGAAUGGGACUGAGUCACUGUCAAGAGGGGGUGCUGUCAUCUAUUAUGCGUCUGUCUUCCUCUACUUUUGGGUCUUUUCAACACCCGUUGUUUCUUUGGUUUUUGGAAGUUACUUGUACAUCUGCAUUAACUGGUUUCACAUACACUUUGAUGAAGCAUUCUCCUCACUCCGAAUUGCUAAUUACAAGGCCUUCACUCGAUUCCACAUCAAUAAGGAUGGCAAUCUUGAAGUUUUCACCCUUGCAGUUGAUAAGAUCCCAAAGGAAUGGAAACUGGAUUCUCAAUGGGAUGCGGAGCCAAAGCAGCCACAGCAGAUGAGUCACCAUCGACGGUUUCCUAGCAAAUGGCGUGCAGUUACAUCUCAGCAGGACCCACUAAAUACUGUUAAAAUAGUUGACCACUUUGUUAUUCAACAAACAGAAAACUCAGACAUUGGAGCAAGUAAGGGAUCAGUCAUUCGCUGAUCCGGUUUUGCUAAAAUUUGUAACAUAAUUGUAAUCUCAUCAUUUAGGAAGCAAUAGGGGGGAAAGAAAAUUAGUUCUGGAACUGAUUUCCAUUUUUCUAUCUCUAAUUCCUGAUCUAUUAGUAGGCUGUCAGAAUUAGUGCGUCAGAGUUCCUACUUGAUUGGGCUCCUUUCAAACCCAGUUUACGCAUUGUUGGGUGAUCUAAUAUUUAGGUCCAUUGCCCUUUAGAUUAUUUGAACGACAACAUGAGGUGUCUUGACUGAUGAUCAUAAUCAUUCUAUGUAGAGUGGCCAUUGCCCAAUAUACUUCUGUAAAGGUAAGCACAAUUAUGACUUGGAAAGGGCUGAAGAAACUUCUGACACCUCUUAUUGUAACUUUGUUUUGCGUUUGCUUAUCAUGUUUGUUGUACCAAAUCUGUUGUCUGUC
Molecule: unclassified non-coding RNA, 1574 nt
Filed under: Hevea brasiliensis (rubber tree)
Lineage: Eukaryota; Viridiplantae; Streptophyta; Magnoliopsida; Malpighiales; Euphorbiaceae
Source: RNAcentral